RNAcentral lists this ribosomal RNA (253 nucleotides) under uncultured bacterium. RNAcentral describes it as "partial 16S ribosomal RNA". It matches the Rfam family "Bacterial small subunit ribosomal RNA", at positions 524 to 776 of the family's 1533-position model. The record is from RNAcentral.
UACAGAGGUGGCAAGCGUUGUUCGGAAUUACUGGGCGUAAAGGGCGCGUAGGCGGUUCGUCAAGUCCUGUGUGAAAUCCCCCGGCUCAACUGGGGAACUGCACAGGAAACUAGCGGGCUUGAGUUCGGGAGAGGGAAGCGGAAUUCCGGGUGUAGCGGUGAAAUGCGUAGAUAUCAGGAGGAACACCGGUGGUGUAGACGGCUUGCUGGACCAUGACUGACGCUGAGGCACGAAAGCGUGGGGAGCAAACAGG